RNAcentral lists this ribosomal RNA (502 nucleotides) under uncultured bacterium. RNAcentral's name for it is "bacterial SSU rRNA". It matches the Rfam family "Bacterial small subunit ribosomal RNA", at positions 30 to 527 of the family's 1533-position model. The record is from RNAcentral.
AUUGAACGCUGGCGGCAUGCCUUACACAUGCAAGUCGAACGGUAACAGGUCUUCGGAUGCUGACGAGUGGCGAACGGGUGAGUAAUACAUCGGAACGUGCCCGAUCGUGGGGGAUAACGGAGCGAAAGCUUUGCUAAUACCGCAUACGAUCUACGGAUGAAAGCAGGGGACCGCAAGGCCUUGCGCGGACGGAGCGGCCGAUGGCAGAUUAGGUAGUUGGUGGGAUAAAAGCUUACCAAGCCGACGAUCUGUAGCUGGUCUGAGAGGACGACCAGCCACACUGGAACUGAGACACGGUCCAGACUCCUACGGGAGGCAGCAGUAGGGAAUAUUGGACAAUGGGCGCAAGCCUGAUCCAGCCAUGCCGCGUGAGUGAAGAAGGCCCUCGGGUUGUAAAGCUCUUUUGUCCGGAAAGAAAAGCGCCGGGUUAAUACCCUGGUGUCCUGACGGUACCGGAAGAAUAAGCACCGGCUAACUUCGUGCCAGCAGCCGCGGUAAUACG